RNAcentral lists this ribosomal RNA (426 nucleotides) under uncultured bacterium. Its description in RNAcentral is "bacterial SSU rRNA". It matches the Rfam family "Bacterial small subunit ribosomal RNA", at positions 356 to 773 of the family's 1533-position model. The record is from RNAcentral.
AGGGAAUCUUCCGCAAUGGGCGAAAGCCUGACGGAGCAACGCCGCGUGAGCGAGGAAGGUCUUCGGAUCGUAAAACUCUGUUGUUAGGGAAGAACAAGUAUCGUUCGAAUAGGGCGGUACCUUGACGGUACCUAACCAGAAAGCCACGGCUAACUACGUGCCAGCAGCCGCGGUAAUACGUAGGUGGCAAGCGUUGUCCGGAAUUAUUGGGCGUAAAGCGCGCGCAGGCGGUCUUUUAAGUCUGAUGUGAAAGCCCACGGCUCAACCGUGGAGGGUCAUUGGAAACUGGAAGACCUGAGUGCAGAAGAGGAGAGUGGAAUUCCACGUGUAGCGGUGAAAUGCGUAGAGAUGUGGAGGAACACCAGUGGCGAAGGCGACUCUCUGGUCUGUAACUGACGCUGAGGCGCGAAAGCGUGGGGAGCAAAC